GGGAAACUUACCAGGUCCAGACAUAGAGAGGAUUGACAGACUGAUAGCUCUUUCUUGAUUUUAUGGGUGGUGGUGCAUGGCCGUUCUUAGUUGGUGGAGUGAUUUGUCUGGUUAAUUCCGAUAACGAUCGAGACCUUAACCUGCUAAAUAGUUUUAGGAAGACCCCGUCUUUCUAAUAACUUCUUAGAGGGACUUUGUGUUAGAAACAUAAGGAAGUGUGAGGCAAUAA
This 229-nucleotide ribosomal RNA is filed under the name uncultured eukaryote. RNAcentral describes it as "partial 18S ribosomal RNA". It matches the Rfam family "Eukaryotic small subunit ribosomal RNA", at positions 1208 to 1456 of the family's 1831-position model. The record is from RNAcentral.